RNAcentral lists this ribosomal RNA (508 nucleotides) under uncultured bacterium. RNAcentral's name for it is "partial 16S ribosomal RNA". It matches the Rfam family "Bacterial small subunit ribosomal RNA", at positions 30 to 523 of the family's 1533-position model. The record is from RNAcentral.
AUUGAACGCUGGCGGCAUGCCUUACACAUGCAAGUCGAACGGCAGCGGGGGAGAAGCUUGCUUUUCCUGCCGGCGAGUGGCGAACGGGUGAGUAAUACAUCGGACCGUGCCCUGUAGUGGGGGAUAACUAGUCGAAAGAUUAGCUAAUACCGCCUACGACCUGAGGGUGAAAGUGGGGGACCGCAAGGCCUCAUGCUAUAGGAGCGGCCGAUGUCUGAUUAGCUAGUUGGUGGGGUAAAGGCCUACCAAGGCGACGAUCAGUAGCUGGUCUGAGAGGACGAUCAGCCACACUGGGACUGAGACACGGCCCAGACUCCUACGGGAGGCAGCAGUGGGGAAUUUUGGACAAUGGGCGAAAGCCUGAUCCAGCAAUGCCGCGUGUGUGAAGAAGGCCUUCGGGUUGUAAAGCACUUUUGUCCGGAAAGAAAUGGCUCUGGUUAAUACCUGGGGUCGAUGACGGUACCGGAAGAAUAAGGACCGGCUAACUACGUGCCAGCCGCCGCGGUAA